RNAcentral lists this ribosomal RNA (468 nucleotides) under uncultured bacterium. Its description in RNAcentral is "partial 16S ribosomal RNA". It matches the Rfam family "Bacterial small subunit ribosomal RNA", at positions 28 to 507 of the family's 1533-position model. The record is from RNAcentral.
GACGAACGCUGGCGGCGUGCUUAACACAUGCAAGUCGAACGGAAAGGCCCUGCUUUUGUGGGGUGCUCGAGUGGCGAACGGGUGAGUAACACGUGAGUAACCUGCCCUUGACUUUGGGAUAACUUCAGGAAACUGGGGCUAAUACCGGAUAGGAGCUCCUGCUGCAUGGUGGGGGUUGGAAAGUUUCGGCGGUUGGGGAUGGACUCGCGGCGUAUCAGGUUGUUGGUGGGGUAGUGGCUUACCAAGGCUUUGACGGGUAGCCGGCCUGAGAGGGUGACCGGCCACAUUGGGACUGAGAUACGGCCCAGACUCCUACGGGAGGCAGCAGUGGGGAAUAUUGCACAAUGGGCGGAAGCCGUAUGCAGCAACGCCGCGUGCGGGAUGACGGCCUUCGGGUUGUAAACCGCUUUCGCCUGUGACGAAGCGUGAGUGACGGUAAUGGGUAAAGAAGCACCGGCUAACUACGUG